CUUGGUCAUUUAGAGGAAGUAAAAGUCGUAACAAGGUUUCCGUAGGUGAACCUGCGGAAGGAUCAUUACUGUGAUUUACUACUACACUGCGUGAGCGGAACGAAAACAACAACACCUAAAAUGUGGAAUAUAGCAUAUAGUCGACAAGAGAAAUCUACGAAAAACAAACAAAACUUUCAACAACGGAUCUCUUGGUUCUCGCAUCGAUGAAGAGCGCAGCGAAAUGCGAUACCUAGUGUGAAUUGCAGCCAUCGUGAAUCAUCGAGUUCUUGAACGCACAUUGCGCCCCUCGGCAUUCCGGGGGGCAUGCCUGUUUGAGCGUCGUUUCCAUCUUGCGCGUGCGCAGAGUUGGGGGAGCGGAGCGGACGACGUGUAAAGAGCGUCGGAGCUGCGACUCGCCUGAAAGGGAGCGAAGCUGGCCGAGCGAACUAGACUUUUUUCAGGGACGCUUGGCGGCCGAGAGCGAGUGUUGCGAGACAACAAAAAGCUCGACCUCAAAUCAGGUAGGAAUACCCGCUGAACUUAAGCAUAUCAAUAAGCGGAGGAA
RNAcentral lists this ribosomal RNA (547 nucleotides) under Pichia kudriavzevii. RNAcentral describes it as "eukaryotic LSU rRNA". The stretch from base 172 to 324 matches the Rfam family "5.8S ribosomal RNA". Lineage: Eukaryota; Fungi; Ascomycota; Pichiomycetes; Pichiales; Pichiaceae. The record is from RNAcentral.